RNAcentral lists this ribosomal RNA (482 nucleotides) under uncultured bacterium. RNAcentral's name for it is "partial 16S ribosomal RNA". It matches the Rfam family "Bacterial small subunit ribosomal RNA", at positions 28 to 523 of the family's 1533-position model. The record is from RNAcentral.
GACGAACGCUGGCGGCGUGCUUAACACAUGCAAGUCGAACGAUGAAACCUAGCUUGCUAGGUCGAUUAGUGGCGAACGGGUGAGUAACACGUGACUAACCUGCCCCUUUCUCUGGGAUAACGCUCCGAAAGGAGUGCUAAUACCGGAUACUCACAUCGAGGCAUAUGCCUUGGUGUGGAAAGUUUUUCGGAAAGGGAUGGGGUCGCGGCCUAUCAGCUUGUUGGUGAGGUAACGGCUCACCAAGGCGACGACGGGUAGCCGGCCUGAGAGGGCGACCGGCCACACUGGGACUGAGACACGGCCCAGACUCCUACGGGAGGCAGCAGUGGGGAAUAUUGCACAAUGGGCGCAAGCCUGAUGCAGCGACGCCGCGUGAGGGAUGAAGGUCUUCGGAUUGUAAACCUCUUUCAGUAGGGACGAAGCGAAAGUGACGGUACCUAAAGAAGAAGCACCGGCUAACUACGUGCCAGCAGCCGCGGUAA